GACGAACGCUGGCGGCGUGCUUAACACAUGCAAGUCGAACGGAAAGGCCCUGCUUUUGUGGGGUGCUCGAGUGGCGAACGGGUGAGUAACACGUGAGUAACCUGCCCUUGACUUUGGGAUAACUUCAGGAAACUGGGGCUAAUACCGGAUAGGAGCUCCUGCUGCAUGGUGGGGGUUGGAAAGUUUCGGCGGUUGGGGAUGGACUCGCGGCUUAUCAGCUUGUUGGUGGGGUAGUGGCUUACCAAGGCUUUGACGGGUAGCCGGCCUGGGAGGGUGACCGGCCACAUUGGGACUGGGGGACGGCCCAGACUCCUACGGGAGGCAGCAGGGGGGAAUAUUGCGCAAUGGGCGGGGGCCUGAUGCAGCAGCGCCGCGUGCGGGAUGACGGCCUUCGGGGUGUAAACCUCUUUCGCCUGUGACGAAGCGUGAGUGACGGUAAUGGGUAAAAAAGCACCGGCUAACUACGUG
Molecule: ribosomal RNA, 468 nt
Filed under: uncultured bacterium
Lineage: Bacteria
Description: partial 16S ribosomal RNA
Rfam family: Bacterial small subunit ribosomal RNA
Source: RNAcentral